This is a non-coding RNA of Apaloderma vittatum (bar-tailed trogon), 84 nucleotides long. The record is from Rfam. Lineage: Eukaryota; Metazoa; Chordata; Aves; Trogoniformes; Trogonidae.
GAUCCGGUUAGCUCAGUGGUUUGAGCGCGGUGCUGGCAACAACGACCAACACCGAGGUCGCGGGUUCGAUUCCUGCUCGGUCCC